This 1296-nucleotide ribosomal RNA is filed under the name Salmonella enterica. Its description in RNAcentral is "partial 23S ribosomal RNA". It matches the Rfam family "Bacterial large subunit ribosomal RNA", at positions 1527 to 2802 of the family's 2925-position model. Lineage: Bacteria; Pseudomonadati; Pseudomonadota; Gammaproteobacteria; Enterobacterales; Enterobacteriaceae. The record is from RNAcentral.
GUGUUCCAGGUAAAUCCGGUUCACUUUAACACUGAGGCGUGAUGACGAGGCACUACGGUGCUGAAGCAACAAAUGCCCUGCUUCCAGGAAAAGCCUCUAAGCAUCAGGUAACAUCAAAUCGUACCCCAAACCGACACAGGUGGUCAGGUAGAGAAUACCAAGGCGCUUGAGAGAACUCGGGUGAAGGAACUAGGCAAAAUGGUGCCGUAACUUCGGGAGAAGGCACGCUGACAUGUAGGUGAAGUGAUUUACUCAUGGAGCUGAAGUCAGUCGAAGAUACCAGCUGGCUGCAACUGUUUAUUAAAAACACAGCACUGUGCAAACACGAAAGUGGACGUAUACGGUGUGACGCCUGCCCGGUGCCGGAAGGUUAAUUGAUGGGGUCAGCGCAAGCGAAGCUCCUGAUCGAAGCCCCGGUAAACGGCGGCCGUAACUAUAACGGUCCUAAGGUAGCGAAAUUCCUUGUCGGGUAAGUUCCGACCUGCACGAAUGGCGUAAUGAUGGCCAGGCUGUCUCCACCCGAGACUCAGUGAAAUUGAACUCGCUGUGAAGAUGCAGUGUACCCGCGGCAAGACGGAAAGACCCCGUGAACCUUUACUAUAGCUUGACACUGAACAUUGAGCCUUGAUGUGUAGGAUAGGUGGGAGGCUUUGAAGCGUGGACGCCAGUCUGCGUGGAGCCGGCCUUGAAAUACCACCCUUUAAUGUUUGAUGUUCUAACGUGGACCCGUGAUCCGGGUUGCGGACAGUGUCUGGUGGGUAGUUUGACUGGGGCGGUCUCCUCCUAAAGAGUAACGGAGGAGCACGAAGGUUGGCUAAUCCUGGUCGGACAUCAGGAGGUUAGUGCAAUGGCAUAAGCCAGCUUGACUGCGAGCGUGACGGCGCGAGCAGGUGCGAAAGCAGGUCAUAGUGAUCCGGUGGUUCUGAAUGGAAGGGCCAUCGCUCAACGGAUAAAAGGUACUCCGGGGAUAACAGGCUGAUACCGCCCAAGAGUUCAUAUCGACGGCGGUGUUUGGCACCUCGAUGUCGGCUCAUCACAUCCUGGGGCUGAAGUAGGUCCCAAGGGUAUGGCUGUUCGCCAUUUAAAGUGGUACGCGAGCUGGGUUUAGAACGUCGUGAGACAGUUCGGUCCCUAUCUGCCGUGGGCGCUGGAGAACUGAGGGGGGCUGCUCCUAGUACGAGAGGACCGGAGUGGACGCAUCACUGGUGUUCGGGUUGUCAUGCCAAUGGCACUGCCCGGUAGCUAAAUGCGGAAGAGAUAAGUGCUGAAAGCAUCUAAGCACGAAACUUGCCCCGA